GACGAACGCUGGCGGCGUGCUUAACACAUGCAAGUCGAACGAAGAGCGAUGGAAGCUUGCUUCUAUCAAUCUUAGUGGCGAACGGGUGAGUAACGCGUAAUCAACCCGCCCUUCAGAGGGGGACAACAGUUGGAAACGACUGCUAAUACCGCAUACGAUCUAACCUCGGCAUCGAGGAUAGAUGAAAGGUGGCCUCUACAUGUAAGCUAUCACUGAAGGAGGGGAUUGCGUCUGAUUAGCUAGUUGGAGGGGUAACGGCCCACCAAGGCGAUGAUCAGUAGCCGGUCUGAGAGGAUGAACGGCCACAUUGGGACUGAGACACGGCCCAGACUCCUACGGGAGGCAGCAGUGGGGAAUCUUCCGCAAUGGACGAAAGUCUGACGGAGCAACGCCGCGUGAGUGAUGACGGCCUUCGGGUUGUAAAGCUCUGUUAAUCGGGACGAAAGGCCUUCUUGCGAAUAGUGAGAAGGAUUGACGGUACCGGAAUAGAAAGCCACGGCUAACUACGUG
This 510-nucleotide ribosomal RNA is filed under the name uncultured bacterium. RNAcentral's name for it is "partial 16S ribosomal RNA". It matches the Rfam family "Bacterial small subunit ribosomal RNA", at positions 28 to 507 of the family's 1533-position model. The record is from RNAcentral.